GGGGGGGGGGGGGGGGGGGGGGGGGGGGGGGGGGGGGGGGGGGGGGAGGCCUGCGGGGGCGGGCGAGUGGCGGACGGGGGCGUGGUGGCGGGGGACGGGCGCGGAGGGGGGGGGUGGCGCAGCGGAGGCUGUGCUGAUCCCGCAGGUGAUCUGGGGGGGGAAGCGGGGGACCCCGCAGCAAGGGUUGGCCUCGCGCCUCUGGGGCGGCCGAUGUCAGAUUAGGUAGUGGGUGGGGGAAAGGCCUACCCAGCCGACGAUCUGUAGCUGGUCUGAGAGGACGACCAGCCACACUGGGACUGCGCCACGGCCCAGACUCCUACGGGAGGCAGCAGUGGGGAAUUGUGGACAAUGGGCGCAAGCCUGAUCCAGCAAUGCCGCGUGCGGGAAGAAGGCCUUCGGGUUGUAAACCGCUUUUGUACGGAACGAAAAGGCUCUGGCUAAUACCUGGGGCUGAUGACGGUACCGUAAGAAUAAGCACCGGCUAACUACGUG
This 492-nucleotide ribosomal RNA is filed under the name uncultured bacterium. Its description in RNAcentral is "partial 16S ribosomal RNA". It matches the Rfam family "Bacterial small subunit ribosomal RNA", at positions 39 to 507 of the family's 1533-position model. The record is from RNAcentral.